UACGUAGGGGGCUAGCGUUGUCCGGAAUCAUUGGGCGUAAAGCGCGUGUAGGCGGUCCGGUAAGUCCGCUGUGAAAGUCGGGGGCUCAACCCUCGAAUGCCGGUGGAUACUGUCGGGCUAGAGUCCGGAAGAGGCGAGUGGAAUUCCUGGUGUAGCGGUGAAAUGCGCAGAUAUCAGGAGGAACACCAAUUGCGAAGGCAGCUCGCUGGGACGUUACUGACGCUGAGACGCGAAAGCGUGGGGAGCAAACAGG
RNAcentral lists this ribosomal RNA (253 nucleotides) under uncultured bacterium. RNAcentral's name for it is "partial 16S ribosomal RNA". It matches the Rfam family "Bacterial small subunit ribosomal RNA", at positions 524 to 776 of the family's 1533-position model. The record is from RNAcentral.